RNAcentral lists this ribosomal RNA (399 nucleotides) under Dipseliopoda biannulata. Its description in RNAcentral is "partial 16S ribosomal RNA". Lineage: Eukaryota; Metazoa; Arthropoda; Insecta; Diptera; Nycteribiidae. The record is from RNAcentral.
AUUAAGCUUCUACACCUAAUUUUUUUCUUAAUCCAACAUCGAGGUCGCAAUCUAUUUUAUCAAUAUGAACUCUCCAAAAUAAUUACGCUGUUAUCCCUAAAGUAACUUAUUUUAUUAUCAAUAAUAAUUAUUCAUUUAUUCAUAAAUCAAUGUUAUAAAUUAAUAAAAGUUUAUUAUAUUUUAUUAUCACCCCAAUAAAAUAUAUUUAAUAAAUAAUUAUAAAAUUACUUUAUUUUUAUAUUUAAUAAAUAUAUAAAGAUUUAUAGGGUCUUCUCGUCUUUUAAAUAUAUUUAAGCUUUUUUACUUAAAAAUAAAAUUCUAUUAAUUUUAAAAAAAAAACAGUUUAUAUCUCAUCCAACCAUUCAUUCUAGUUUUCAAUUAAAAAACUAAUUAUUAUGC